Felis catus (domestic cat) is the source of this 85-nucleotide transfer RNA. It matches the Rfam family "tRNA". From Rfam's summary of the family: Transfer RNA (tRNA) molecules are approximately 80 nucleotides in length. Their secondary structure includes four short double-helical elements and three loops (D, anti-codon, and T loops). Lineage: Eukaryota; Metazoa; Chordata; Mammalia; Carnivora; Felidae. The record is from Rfam.
GCCUGGGUGGCUCAGUCGGUUAAGCGUCUGACUUCAGCUCAGGUCACGAUCUCGCGGUCCGUGAGUUCGAGCCCCGCGUCAGGCU